This 497-nucleotide ribosomal RNA is filed under the name uncultured bacterium. Its description in RNAcentral is "partial 16S ribosomal RNA". It matches the Rfam family "Bacterial small subunit ribosomal RNA", at positions 28 to 507 of the family's 1533-position model. The record is from RNAcentral.
GAUGAACGCUGGCGGCGUGCCUAAUACAUGCGAGUCGAGCGAACAGACGAGGAGCUUGCUCCUCUGACGUUAGCGGCGGACGGGUGAGUAACACGUGGAUAACCUACCUAUAAGACUGGGAUAACUUCGGGAAACCGGAGCUAAUACCGGAUAAUAUAUUGAACCGCAUGGUUCAAUAGUGAAAGACGGUUUUGCUGUCACUUAUAGAUGGAUCUGCGCCGCAUUAGCUAGUUGGUAAGGUAACGGCUUACCAAGGCAACGAUGCGUAGCCGACCUGAGAGGGUGAUCGGCCACACUGGAACUGAGACACGGUCCAGACUCCUACGGGAGGCAGCAGUAGGGAAUCUUCCGCAAUGGGCGAAAGCCUGACGGAGCAACGCCGCGUGAGUGAUGAAGGUCUUCGGAUCGUAAAACUCUGUUAUUAGGGAAGAACAAAUGUGUAAGUAACUAUGCACGUCUUGACGGUACCUAAUCAGAAAGCCACGGCUAACUACGUG